Molecule: long non-coding RNA, 522 nt
Organism: Papaver somniferum (opium poppy)
Lineage: Eukaryota; Viridiplantae; Streptophyta; Magnoliopsida; Ranunculales; Papaveraceae
Exons: 3
Source: RefSeq, a predicted model, not a curated record
GUUUUAUAUAGAUGAAUGAGAUUGUUUUAUAUGUUGGUUCAUUGUCUAAAUCAGAUUGGUUGUUUACACUGCUUACAACAGAUGACUUUAUGAUCAGUGGGGGAUAAUGUAUGUCAACGUAUACAACAGGAUCAAUUUGACACCAUGUAUUUGUCAGACAAUGAGAGUUAUGUUAUGUACUCUCGCCCUCAUUUUUUAGAUGCCUAAUCCCUCACGGUGCUUUUGAUUCCUUUCAUGAUGUUAUUAGAGUGUGAGUACUCCAUCAAGAUCCCAAUGAUGAAUGAUCAGAGAGGAACUUAAACACAAGAAUGAUGGCAGUAUGAAUCUCUUAUUAUGAGCUUGGUGCUACAAAGUUGAAGGAGUGUUCAUUUUUUAUUUCAAAAUUAAGGAAAUUGUAAUCAUCAUUUUUUAAAGAAAUGAUUAGUUUGUAUUUUUAAUCUUUUUGUUCCUGUAAAGAUUGUCUUUCUUUUAAGAAAUGAUGUAAAUUGAUCUAUGUGAUAUAAAAAAACUUGAUUCAGUUUU